This 380-nucleotide ribosomal RNA is filed under the name uncultured eukaryote. RNAcentral's name for it is "partial 18S ribosomal RNA". It matches the Rfam family "Eukaryotic small subunit ribosomal RNA", at positions 592 to 976 of the family's 1831-position model. The record is from RNAcentral.
CAAUAGCGUAUAUUAAAGUUGUUGCAGUUAGAACGCUCGUAGUCGGAUUUCGGGGCGGGGCGACCGGUCUGCCGAUGGGUAUGCACUGGUCGGCGCGUCCUUCCUUCCGGAGACCGUUCCUACUCUUAACUGAGCGGGGGCGGGAGACGGAUCGUUUACUUUGAAAAAAUCAGAGUGUUUCAAGCAGGCAGCUCGCUCUUGCAUGGAUUAGCAUGGGAUAAUGAAAUAGGACUUUGGUGCUAUUUUGUUGGUUUCGAACACCGAAGUAAUGAUUAAAAGGGACAGUCAGGGGCACUCGUAUUCCGCCGAGAGAGGUGAAAUUCUCAGACCAGCGGAAGACGAACCACUGCGAAAGCAUUUGCCAGGGAUGUUUUCACUGA